GCCUGGGUGGUGGAAUUGGUAGACGCGCUGGACUCAAAAUCCAGUGGGGGCAACCCCGUGAGAGUUCGAUUCUCUCCCCAGGCACCA
This 87-nucleotide transfer RNA is filed under the name bacterium. Its description in RNAcentral is "tRNA-Leu". It matches the Rfam family "tRNA". From Rfam's summary of the family: Transfer RNA (tRNA) molecules are approximately 80 nucleotides in length. Their secondary structure includes four short double-helical elements and three loops (D, anti-codon, and T loops). The record is from RNAcentral.